GAUGAACGCUGGCGGCGUGCUUAACACAUGCAAGUCGAACGGAAAGGCCCAAGCUUGCUUGGGUACUCGAGUGGCGAACGGGUGAGUAACACGUGGGUGAUCUGCCCUGCACUUCGGGAUAAGCCUGGGAAACUGGGUCUAAUACCGGAUAGGACCACGUCUUGGAUGUUGUGGUGGAAAGUUUUUUCGGUGUGGGAUGAGCUCGCGGCCUAUCAGCUUGUUGGUGGGGUAAUGGCCUACCAAGGCGUCGACGGGUAGCCGGCCUGAGAGGGUGUACGGCCACAUUGGGACUGAGAUACGGACCAGACUCCUACGGGAGGCAGCAGUGGGGAAUAUUGCACAAUGGGCGCAAGCCUGAUGCAGCGACGCCGCGUGGGGGAUGACGGCCUUCGGGUUGUAAACUCCUUUCGCUAGGGACGAAGCGUUUUUGUGACGGUACCUGGAGAAGAAGCACCGGCUAACUACGUG
RNAcentral lists this ribosomal RNA (468 nucleotides) under uncultured bacterium. Its description in RNAcentral is "partial 16S ribosomal RNA". It matches the Rfam family "Bacterial small subunit ribosomal RNA", at positions 28 to 507 of the family's 1533-position model. The record is from RNAcentral.